UACGGAGGGUGCAAACGUUGCUCGGAAUUACUGGGCGUAAAGCGUGCGUAGGCGGUUCGCUGUGUCCGAUGUGAAAGCCCCGGGCUUAACCUGGGAAUGGCAUUGGAAACUGGCGGGCUUGAGUGUGGCAGAGGGGGGUGGAAUUCCGCGUGUAGCAGUGAAAUGCGUAGAGAUGCGGAGGAACACCGAUGGCGAAGGCAGCCCCCUGGGUUAACACUGACGCUCAGGCACGAAAGCGUGGGGAGCAAACAGG
RNAcentral lists this ribosomal RNA (253 nucleotides) under uncultured bacterium. RNAcentral's name for it is "partial 16S ribosomal RNA". It matches the Rfam family "Bacterial small subunit ribosomal RNA", at positions 524 to 776 of the family's 1533-position model. The record is from RNAcentral.